This 440-nucleotide ribosomal RNA is filed under the name uncultured bacterium. RNAcentral describes it as "partial 16S ribosomal RNA". It matches the Rfam family "Bacterial small subunit ribosomal RNA", at positions 338 to 795 of the family's 1533-position model. The record is from RNAcentral.
CCUACGAGAGGCAGCAGUAGGGAAUAUUGCUCAAUGGGGGAAACCCUGAAGCAGCAACGCCGCGUGGAGGAUGAAGGUUUUCGGAUUGUACACUCCUUUUGUUAGAGAAGAUAAUGACGGUAUCGAACGAAUAAGCACCGGCUAACUCCGUGCCAGCAGCCGCGGUAAUACGGAGGGUGCAAGCGUUACUCGGAAGCACUGGGCGUAAAGAGCGAGUAGGCGGGAUAGCAAGUCAGAUGUGAAAUCCUAUGGCUUAACCAUAGAACUGCAUUUGAAACUGUUAUUCUAGAGUAUGGGAGAGGUAGGUGGAAUUCUUGGUGGAGGGGUAAAAUCCGUAGAGAUCAAGAGGAAUACUCAUUGCGAAGGCGACCUGCUAGAACAUAACUGCCGCUGAUGCGCGAAAGCGUGGGGAGCAAACAGGAUUAGAUACCCGAGUAGUC